RNAcentral lists this ribosomal RNA (302 nucleotides) under uncultured bacterium. RNAcentral's name for it is "partial 16S ribosomal RNA". It matches the Rfam family "Bacterial small subunit ribosomal RNA", at positions 508 to 807 of the family's 1533-position model. The record is from RNAcentral.
GCAGUCGCCACGGUAAUACGGAGGGUGCAAGCGUUAAUCGGAAUUACUGGGCGUAAAGCGCACGCAGGCGGUCUGACAAGUCAGAUGUGAAAUCCCCGGGCUUAACCUGGGAACUGCAUUUGAAACUGUCAGGCUGGAGUCUUGUAGAGGGGGGUAGAAUUCCAGGUGUAGCGGUGAAAUGCGUAGAGAUCUGGAGGAAUACCGGUGGCGAAGGCGGCCCCCUGGACAAAGACUGACGCUCAGGUGCGAAAGCGUGGGGAGCAAACAGGAUUAGAUACCCGAGUAGUCCCUGUCUCUUAUAC